CGGUCGGGUGGUGCCGCCUCACGGUGGUCACUGCCUCGAUCGGACAAUUCAUUGGAUCGUUCGGGGUGCUCUUAACCGAGUGUCCUGGGUGGCCGAUACGUUUACUUUGAACAAAUUAGAGUGCUUAAAGCAGGUGCAUCGCGCCUGAAUAUCACAGCAUGGAAUGAUGGAAUAGGACCUCGGUCUUAUUAUGUUGGUUUUCUGGACUUGAGGUAAUGGUUAACAGAGACAGACGGGGGCAUUCGUACUGCGACGCUAGAGGUGAAAUUCUUGGACCGUCGCAAGACGAACAACUGCGAAAGCAUUUGCCAAGAAUGUUUUCAUUAAUCAAGAACGAAAGUUAGAGGUUCGAAGGCGAUCAGAUACCGCCCUAGUUCUAACCAUAAACGAUGCCAACCA
RNAcentral lists this ribosomal RNA (399 nucleotides) under uncultured eukaryote. RNAcentral's name for it is "SSU rRNA". It matches the Rfam family "Eukaryotic small subunit ribosomal RNA", at positions 651 to 1048 of the family's 1831-position model. The record is from RNAcentral.